UACGGAAGAUCCGAGCGUUAUCCGGAAUUACUGGGCGUAAAGAGUUGCGUAGGUGGCAUGUAAAGCGAGCAGUGAAAGAUCCCGGCUCAACCGGGGGUACAUUGUUCGAACUCACAAGCUAGAGCAUGAGAGAGGUAGAUGGAAUUUCUAGUGUAGGAGUGAAAUCCGUAGAUAUUAGAAGGAACACCGAUGGCGUAGGCAGUCUACUGGCUCAUUGCUGACACUAAGGCACGGAAAGCGUGGGGAGCGAACAGG
Molecule: ribosomal RNA, 255 nt
Filed under: uncultured bacterium
Lineage: Bacteria
Description: partial 16S ribosomal RNA
Rfam family: Bacterial small subunit ribosomal RNA
Source: RNAcentral